Molecule: transfer RNA, 76 nt
Filed under: Haemophilus influenzae
Lineage: Bacteria; Pseudomonadati; Pseudomonadota; Gammaproteobacteria; Pasteurellales; Pasteurellaceae
Also listed under: 2 other names
Description: tRNA-Gly
Rfam family: tRNA
About the family: Transfer RNA (tRNA) molecules are approximately 80 nucleotides in length.
Source: RNAcentral
GCGGGAAUAGCUCAGUUGGUAGAGUACGACCUUGCCAAGGUCGGGGUCGCGAGUUCGAGCCUCGUUUCCCGCUCCA